GUGCCAGCCGCCGCGGUAAGACAGAGGGUGCGAACGUUGCUCGGAAUUACUGGGCGUAAAGCGCGUGUAGGCGGGUGAUCAAGUCAGGUGUGAAAUCCCCAGGCUCAACCUGGGAACUGCACUUGAAACUGGUUGCCUUGAGUGCUGGAGAGGGAAGCGGAAUUCCUGGUGUAGAGGUGAAAUUCGUAGAUAUCAGGAGGAACACCGGUGGCGAAGGCGGCUUCCUGGACAGUUACUGACGCUGAGACGCGAAAGCGUGGGGAGCAAACAGGAUUAGAAACCCUUGUAGUCC
This 292-nucleotide ribosomal RNA is filed under the name uncultured bacterium. Its description in RNAcentral is "partial 16S ribosomal RNA". It matches the Rfam family "Bacterial small subunit ribosomal RNA", at positions 505 to 796 of the family's 1533-position model. The record is from RNAcentral.